AGUAGAAGGAUAACAUGACAUAGCAGGAAUAAUACUGCCUUUUCUUUCUGGCAUGGAUCAAGAGAAAAGAAAAUACAAGAAAACAGACAGAAGCAAGGCAAGGUACUUCUAUGGAAGGGUGAGCCCUCACAGAUGGAGCAAUGGGGCGCGCACACCUGAACAAGGGAGGGGAAGGAGUUCUUAUCCCUGAUGCAUGUGACCCCUGCUGCUGUGUCCUUCCCCUAUUGGCUAAGGUUAGACCACACAGCCUAAACUAAUUCCGAUUGGCUAAUUCAAAGAGAGCGACGGGGGCUUCUGACAGCUUUGGAGAUUGUGACAUUGGAAUAAAGGAAAAACGUACAGGACUCAUGAAGCGCUGAAAUGUUCACAAAUAUCAAGCAAAAGUCAAUGAAAUUUAUUUUGAGCUAUUUACAUCAUUUAAUAAUUGAGCAAGGUAUACUCCUAUGAACAAAAUUUGGAGCAUGUUUGUCUCUCUCUGCCUGGCGUCUUCAGAAUUUGGAAACUAGUUAUGGUUUAUAAUCAGCUAUAGAAUUUUAACACGUGCUCUCAAAUGCAAGUUUCUGAUAACUUUGGAGAUUGUGACAUUGGAAUAAAGGAAGAGCUGGAAUGUUCAUGAAUAUCAAGCAAAAGUCAUGGAAAUUUAUUUUGAGCUAUUUACAGCAUUUAAUAAUUGAGCAAGGUAUACUCCUAUGAACAAAAUUUGGAGCAUGUUUGUCUCUCUCUGUCUGCCUGGCAUCUACAGAAUUUGGAAACUAGUUGUGCUGUACUGCAUGAGAAUGCCUGCAUUUAGUAUGCGAACUGGAAUUGGCAAAGGACGAUGGCUGCUCUCCCGCUAACUUUAAAUAAGUCAUGUCACAAAUUGCAUUCGUUCCCAGAUUUCCUAAACUUUCCAGAGAAAAUGGUCUUCUCCCUGGCUCAGCAAGAAGAUGAACUUUAAACACUGAGAAACUGGUCAUCUCCCUGGCUCAACCAGAAGAUGAACUUUAAACACUACUCUCAAUGACUUGAUGUUCCCAUCACUACUCCUGUCAUAAAGGGAGGGGACUCAGAUAUUGAGAAUUUUAUGAUAGUGUGAACUGUCUGGUAUGUCAUUUAAGUAAGCCCGUUGCUGAAAUAUUUUCCAUGUUAUUAGAAAGAGCUGAAGAGAGGGAUUGAGAUGGCUUCUUUAUUUUUUGUCUUUUGGGAAUUAAAGGAACCUGGUUCAACAAGGGCCUACACCUAAGUCUCUUGUUGUACCAGAGUACAAUUUAGGACUGCUCCUGAGGAAGGAAUUAGCUAGAAAUCUAGAGAGUAAGGGUAACAGAUUUACAUAGAAUAACAGCCUCAGUAUUUUUGGUUCCUCUCCAGUAAAGAUCACAAAGAAUAUUGCUAAAUCGCUAAAACACCUUUGCAAUAACGUAAGGGCUUACAACUAUAUACCAAUGUAGCUCAGUUACUAAACUGGAGUAAACUAAUUUCUCUUGUGUAGAAAAAUUGGUUGGCUGUGGUUUUAUAGCAGAUCUGCAAUUAUUAAUAGUUAUGCCAAUAAUCGUUUAACAGUGCAUAUGUUAAUAUAUAUGGAAAGACAAUGUGUAUAGACAGAUGUGUAAAAUUGAAAAAUAAACAUAUAACAAGAGAGAAACAUCUAUCGAACAGACAAUAUACAUACACAUCAAACACAACAGCAGUUUUAGUGACCAUAAUAUUUAUUUCUCAUUUUUACAUUGCUUACUUUAGUGACAACUGAAAAUGACAGUUGGCAAUGCAGCUAACAGUUUCAAUAAAAGUAUAAAACAAAA
Molecule: long non-coding RNA, 1778 nt
Filed under: Homo sapiens (human)
Lineage: Eukaryota; Metazoa; Chordata; Mammalia; Primates; Hominidae
Description: non-protein coding LINC00320:29
Source: RNAcentral